UGGCCAGACUCCUACGGGGGCAGCAGUGAGGAAUAUUGGUCAAUGGCCGAGAGGCUGAACCAGCCAAGUCGCGUGAGGGAAGACGGCCCCACGGGUUGUAAACCUCUUUUGUCGGGGAGCAAAGCGAGUCACGUGUGACUCAUUGAGAGUACCCGAAGAAAAAGCAUCGGCUAACUCCGUGCCAGCAGCCGCGGUAAUACGGAGGGGGCAAGCGUUAUCCGGAAUUACUGGGUGUAAAGGGAGCGUAGACGGUUAAGUAAGUCUGGAGUGAAAGGCCGGGGCCCAACCCCGGGACUGCUCUGGAAACUAUUGAACUUGAGUGCAGGAGAGGUAAGCGGAAUUCCUAGUGUAGCGGUGAAAUGCGUAGAUAUUAGGAGGAACACCAGUGGCGAAGGCGGCUUACUGGACUGUAACUGACGUUGAGGCUCGAAAGCGUGGGGAGCAAACAGGAUUAGAUACCCCAGUAA
This 467-nucleotide ribosomal RNA is filed under the name uncultured bacterium. RNAcentral's name for it is "bacterial SSU rRNA". It matches the Rfam family "Bacterial small subunit ribosomal RNA", at positions 328 to 793 of the family's 1533-position model. The record is from RNAcentral.